CAGUCGCCACGGUAAUACGGAGGGGGCUAGCGUUGUUCGGAAUUACUGGGCGUAAAGCGCACGUAGGCGGCUUGGUAAGUUAGAGGUGAAAGCCUGGGGCUCAACUCCAGAAUUGCCUUUAAGACUGCCGAGCUAGCAGGUGAGAGAGGUAAGUGGAAUUCCGAGUGUAGAGGUGAAAUUCGUAGAUAUUCGGAAGAACACCAGUGGCGAAGGCGGCUUACUGGCUCAUACUGGACGCUGAGGUGCGAAAGCGUGGGGAGCAAACAGGAUUAGAUACCCCUGUAGUCCCUGUCUCUUAUAC
Molecule: ribosomal RNA, 301 nt
Filed under: uncultured bacterium
Lineage: Bacteria
Description: partial 16S ribosomal RNA
Rfam family: Bacterial small subunit ribosomal RNA
Source: RNAcentral